This is a long non-coding RNA of Olea europaea var. sylvestris, 1920 nucleotides long. RefSeq lists it as uncharacterized. Lineage: Eukaryota; Viridiplantae; Streptophyta; Magnoliopsida; Lamiales; Oleaceae. The record is from RefSeq and is a predicted model, not a curated record. The transcript is spliced from 3 exons.
AGCAAAAAAUGUCAGCAACUUUUAAGUUAGACCCAAGUGUUUUAAUCCACCAUUGAAGGUUCAGCUCCCCUUUGCGCGUUAAUUUCCUUUGAGAUUGCAACCCAAAACCCUCUCCGCCGCGGUGCCAUCACUCUCUCCAUUACAGAAUGGAUAUUACCCAGUUCCAACCUGUUGAUAGGAUAAGCAACCUUACUGACAAUGUAGCUGAUAGCAUUCUAAUGCAUUUGACUUUACAUGAUGCUGCAAAGACAAGUAUUCAAAACAAUGGAGGUAUAAAUGGGUCAAACUACCCCAACUGAGAUUUGAUGAGACGCUAUGGCAAGAAUAUGAGGGAAACCUAGAAUCAGCUAGAAUGAAGUUCUUGUUGAUCCUUUACAAGGUUCUUUUGCUUCGUAAAGGACCCAUAACAAAAUUGAGCUUCGUUAUUCUGAAACUUAAAAUUGCUCAGAAAUUGACGACUUGAUACAUAUCUUAUGGAAGAACAGUGUUGAAGAAUUCACCUUUAAAAUCAAGAGCGGAGAACUGUACACAUUGCCUUCUUCACUAUUUAUGUGUUUACAUUUGAAACAUUUGAAGCUGUUGUCUUGUUUGAUCAAUCCACCUCCACCAAGCUUUGAAGGAUUUAAUAGGAUGAUUUGGCUGGAAUUGCUUGACGUGACAAUUGAUUAUGAUGUAUGUAUUAGGAAGUUUGAUAUCUAGCUGCCCAUUACUGGAGAAACUGUUGCUGAAUGUUUCAAACAAAUUUGACUACUUAGAAAUUGAUGCUCCUAUGCUAAAACACUUUGAAUUGACAUGUUUCCCUACAUCAUUGUUUUGUUUUAAGAAAUUCACUCUUCUUGCAAUAAUUUUGGUUGCUUCACAUAAUGAUUGGGUGGUUGACAAUAUUUUGGAAGAUGGGAAAUGUAACUUCAUUCAUUUUUUUAUUCUCUGCCUGGCCUUCAGAAAGUGUACUUGAACUAUACUGUCAUUAAGGUAUUUUUGAUUAUAAAUACAAUCCCUUGUAAUCGUCAAGUUAACUACAUUAGAUCAUGCUUUUACCACUGCUUUCAAGAUUUUGGCUGCAGGUCAAGUCCAAGAAAGGCUUCCAGCUACUUUAAUCCACCUUAAAGUUCUGAGGUUAUUUUAUAUAUUUUUUAGUUUAUUGGAUGAACUCUCUUGUGUUCUGUGCUUGAUCAGAGGUUAUUUUAUAUAUUUUUUAAUUUAUUGGAUGAACUCUCUUGUGUUUUGUGUUUGAUCAGCAGCGCCCCCAACCUUUAGGAACUGAGAUUCGAGAUUUGUGAGAGUGCAAAUGCUGAUGCUAGUCCUAUUCUAGAUUUUAUGUAAGUGCAAGACUACGCAGAUGUAACUUCAAAUCGACUUCAAAAAGUGAAGCUGCUUUUAUUUUAGGCACAGUUGCUGAGAUGGCAGUCACUAAGCUUUUGAUAGAAAAAUCGCCGAAGCUGAAAAGAAUGGUGAUCUGGUCAAUUUUCAACACUGUCAUUGACAAAGGACUUCAGAUUCUGAAACAGUUGAACAAGUUUUGGUGAGCAUCUCCUGUUGCAAAGGUCGAUUAUGUAGAUUUUGAAGAUGAAGUUGAAGUUGAAGACGAGGACGAAGAUAAGGACGAAGACGAAUCCUGAUCCUCUGUCUAGCUAGGAGGUCAAGAGUACUUCCAUCUUGUGACACUGGCUUUCGAAACAAUAGUUUUUAUGUCUCAAUUGUCUAAGGUAUUAUGCCGGUUAACAUCUCAGGUUCCAGAUCAUAUCAAGAAAACAUUUAUUAGAUUGCGUGUUAUUUCGUUUGAUAGGUUUGCUCAAAGCAAUUUUGAAAGCACUUAAUAUGUUUUCAAGACGUGGAUCAUGCUUCCUCCAGAUAUGGUUUGAAAAUCGAAGCUGCAGACUUCUGAAAGAUUUGUGUAUAAAAUUCAUGAUCUUAUGUGCA